Molecule: ribosomal RNA, 468 nt
Filed under: uncultured bacterium
Lineage: Bacteria
Description: partial 16S ribosomal RNA
Rfam family: Bacterial small subunit ribosomal RNA
Source: RNAcentral
GACGAACGCUGGCGGCGUGCUUAACACAUGCAAGUCGAACGGAAAGGCCCUGCGUUUGUGGGGUGCUCGAGUGGCGAACGGGUGAGUGACACGUGAGUAACCUGUCCUUGACAUUGUGAUAACUUCAGGAGACUGGGGCUAAUACAGGGUAGGAUCUCCUGCUGCAUGGUGUGGGUUGGAGAGAGUCGGCGGUUGGGGAUGGACUCGCGGCUUAUGAGCUGGUUUGUGGGGUAGUGGUUUACCAAGGCUUUGACGGGUAGCCGGCCUGAGAGGGUGACCGGCCACAUUGGGACUGAGAUACGGCCCAGACUCCUACGGGAGGCAGCAGUGGGGAAUAUUGCACAAUGGGCGGAAGCCUGAUGCAGCAACGCCGCGUGCGGGAUGACGGCCUUCGGGUUGUAAACCGCUUUCGCCUGUGACGAAGCGUGAGUGACGGUAAUGGGUAAAGAAGCACCGGCUAACUACGUG